Mus musculus (house mouse) is the source of this 1134-nucleotide long non-coding RNA. RefSeq annotates it as predicted gene, 31285. The record is from RefSeq and is a predicted model, not a curated record. The transcript has 5 exons. NCBI's taxonomy places the organism in Eukaryota, Metazoa, Chordata, Mammalia, Rodentia, Muridae.
CAGGCAGUGCUUGCCUGCUAGCAGCUUCCUAUUGGGUUUUGCUCUUUAAAGGGAGGAAGCACUCACAGAUGGGAGUAGUUCUGGACUCUGAAUCCAACCCCUUGUACCUGCUAGACAGAAUCUCACUCUGCAGUCAAGGCUCAUCUUCCAUCCAUGGUCCUCCUGCCUGAGCUCUCACGCUCUGGGAUGACAGGCAUGCGGCACCGUCACACCUGUCCCAUUUCUUACAGACAAUGCAUAACUGAUGCAUCCACUAAUCCCUAGACUUACCUGGAUUUAACAAGUCCCUGCUUGCCACCUGACACCCACAACCCUCCUUCCUCUCCAAGUUACUUGAGAGGGAAGAGACAGUAUCCUCAUCGAUGCUCCUGUCCUCCCUGCAUCAUGGCUGACAUGCCAUGGCCAGCAGAAGCUUGUGUGAAGCAACCCUGCGUUCCCCUUAGAGCAGUGGUUCAGUGUUUGCUGACUCGGCGCUCAUAGUGACUUUACAGACCAUGACUAUGGCAAGCAUCAUGAAAUGACUGUCCUUACGUGGGAGAGACCCCUGGAAGAUUCACAAGAGGUUGGUAAUACAAAGAAGACAGGGUUGAGAAGAGAGGAGCUCUUCCCUCUAACACCCCUUGUGUUCUGUACCAUACUAAAUCAAUAUCCCAAAUGCUAACAAGAUGGAGAAUGCGCCCUGAGGUCAAGAAGCAACUGCUACCAAAACCCAGCAUAUCAAGUGGCACCAUAGGUCCCCACCCCGCCUUCCCUGCUCUCCACAGUUGUCACAUGUUCACCAAACAUCUCUGCAGAGCAUUUGUCCCUUCUGUCACCUUGCUUUUACUGACCCCAUAUUUCUUGCCAGAAACAUUUGUCCAUCCCCCGCCCCCCUUCACCUAGCAACAGUCUGCUUUUCCUUUAAAUUCUUAAGAUUUCCCUGACUUUCCAACCCAGUGACCUCUCUUCAUUACUGGACUCUUUCCUGUUUCUUGUCACUCACCUAUACACCGCCUGCUCUCGUUGGUUGUAUUUGAAUUUACUGACUCUUCUCAUUCAUUCUUGAGAAAGUUAUUGGGAUCUGUCUUUGAACUCGAGCACUCCCACAAGAUAGUAUUGAUAGAUUAUUGAUUGGUUACCCUUUAUCACUUCCUA